RNAcentral lists this ribosomal RNA (498 nucleotides) under uncultured bacterium. RNAcentral's name for it is "partial 16S ribosomal RNA". It matches the Rfam family "Bacterial small subunit ribosomal RNA", at positions 28 to 523 of the family's 1533-position model. The record is from RNAcentral.
GACGAACGCUGGCGGCAUGCCUAAUACAUGCAAGUCGAACGGAGAUACUUGAAGGAAGGUUUCGGAUGGAAUUUGAGUAUUUUAGCGGCGGACGGGUGAGUAACGCGUGAGUGACCUGCCUUCCACAGGGGGAUAACGUACCGAAAGGUACACUAAUACCGCAUGAGACCGCAGCACUGCCUGGUGCAGGGGUCAAAGGAGCAAUCCGGUGGAAGAUGGACUCGCGUCCGAUUAGAUAGUUGGUGGGGUAACGGCCUACCAAGUCAGCGAUCGGUAGCCGACCUGAGAGGGUGAUCGGCCACAUUGGAACUGAGAGACGGUCCAUACUCCUACGGGAGGCAGCAGUGGGGAAUAUUGGGCAAUGGGGGAAACCCUGACCCAGCGACGCCGCGUGAGGGAAGAAGGUUUUCGGAUUGUAAACCUCUGUUCUUGGUGAAGAGGGAAAGACGGUAGCCAAGGAGGAAGCCCCGGCUAACUACGUGCCAGCAGCCGCCGUAA